GCAUCAAUGGGGUAGUGGUAACCUGGGUCGUUGCCAUCGACCCGCCGCGAGUUCAAUUCUCGCUUGAUGCA
RNAcentral lists this transfer RNA (71 nucleotides) under Pleurotus ostreatus PC15. RNAcentral's name for it is "tRNA-Gly (GCC) (tRNA-Gly-GCC-3 1 to 4)". It matches the Rfam family "tRNA". From Rfam's summary of the family: Transfer RNA (tRNA) molecules are approximately 80 nucleotides in length. Their secondary structure includes four short double-helical elements and three loops (D, anti-codon, and T loops). The record is from RNAcentral. Lineage: Eukaryota; Fungi; Basidiomycota; Agaricomycetes; Agaricales; Pleurotaceae.